UAUGUGAUCGUCUCUCGCAUAUCAAUAAGCGGAGGAAAAGAAACUAACAAGGAUUCCCCUAGUAACGGCGAGUGAAGCGGGAAGAGCUCAAAUUUGAAAUCUUAAAGGGUUUCCCUUUACGAAUUGUAGUUUAAAGAAGUGUUUUCUGUUGAGGUUUUGGUAAAAGUUCUUUGGAAUAGGACAUCAUAGAGGGUGAGAAUCCCGUAUUUGACCUUUACUUUCAACUUUGUGAUACACUUUCAAAGAGUCGGAUUGUUUGGGAAUGCAGUCCAAAAUGGGUGGUAAAUUUCAUCUAAAGCUAAAUAUUGGCGAGAGACCGAUAGCGAACAAGUACCGUGAGGGAAAGAUGAAAAGAACUUUGAAAAGAGAGUUAAACAGUACGUGAAAUUGUCAAAAGGGAAGCGUUUGACGCCAGUGUUGUUUUUCUGAAAAUCAAUUAAAGAACUGUUUAUGCUAAGCUGUUUAGACUUUAUCAGCUAACUGUUUAGUUUUGAGCUUUUCUUUAAUGCACUUUUCAGUUAACAAGUCAACAUCAAUUUCUUUCGCUGUAAAAAAGCUUGAGGAAGGUGGCUUGAGAUUCGUCUUAAGUGUUUAUAGCCUCUUGCCUAUGCAGUCGGAGAGAUUGAGGUCUGCAGCGUAGAUCCUUCGGGGCUAAAUGCAUUUGUGCUAAGUUAUAGCAUUUUAUAGACAACUUGUUGACUAUGAUUUGUCUUGUAGCUUACUCGCUUAUGUUAUUUUACCUACGCUUAGGAUGUUGAUCUCUCACAGUCGAGC
This 774-nucleotide ribosomal RNA is filed under the name uncultured Neocallimastigales. RNAcentral's name for it is "partial large subunit ribosomal RNA". It matches the Rfam family "Eukaryotic large subunit ribosomal RNA", at positions 24 to 645 of the family's 3401-position model. Lineage: Eukaryota; Fungi; Neocallimastigomycota; Neocallimastigomycetes; Neocallimastigales. The record is from RNAcentral.